Molecule: non-coding RNA, 765 nt
Filed under: Perkinsus marinus ATCC 50983
Lineage: Eukaryota; Perkinsozoa; Perkinsida; Perkinsidae
Description: Eukaryotic small subunit ribosomal RNA
Rfam family: Eukaryotic small subunit ribosomal RNA
Source: Rfam by way of RNAcentral
CACCUGGUUGAUCCUGCCAGUAGUCAUAUGCUUGUCUCAAAGAUUAAGCCAUGCAUGUCUAAGUAUAAGCUUUAAACGGCGAAACUGCGAAUGGCUCAUUAAAACAGUUAUAGUUUAUUUGGUGAUCGAUUACUAUUUGGAUAACCGUAGUAAUUCUAGAGCUAAUACAUGCGUCAAGGCCCGACUUCGGAAGGGCUGCGUUUAUUAGAUACAGAACCAACCUAGGCUCCGCCUAGUCCUUGUUGGUGAUUCAUAAUAACCCGGCGAAUCGCACGGCUUGUCCGGCGAUGGACCAUUCAAGUUUCUGACCUAUCAGCUAUGGACGGUAGGGUAUUGGCCUACCGUGGCGUUGACGGGUAACGGGGAAUUAGGGUUCGAUUCCGGAGAGGGAGCCUGAGAAACGGCUACCACAUCUAAGGAAGGCAGCAGGCGCGCAAAUUACCCAAUCCUGAUACAGGGAGGUAGUGACAAGAAAUAACAAUACAGGGCAAUUCUGUCUUGUAAUUGGAAUGAGUAGAUUUUAAAUCUCUUUACGAGUAUCAAUUGGAGGGCAAGUCUGGUGCCAGCAGCCGCGGUAAUUCCAGCUCCAAUAGCGUAUAUUAAAGUUGUUGCGGUUAAAAAGCUCGUAGUUGGAUUUCUGCCUUGGGGCGACGAUCCACCUUUCCUACGGGAUUGGUCGGUAUCAAGUUUUGACCUUGGCUUUUUCUUGGGGAUUCGUGCUCACGUACUUAACUGUGCGUUGACCGUGUUUCAAGACUUUUACUU